AGUCGAACGAUGAAACUUAGUAGACUUCUUCGGAAAGACACUAAGCGGAUUAGUGGCGAACGGGUGAGUAACGCGUGAGUAACCUGCCUUACACAAGGGGAUAGCCUUUGGAAACGAAGAAUAAUACCCUAUAAAACCAUAAAAGCACAUGCUAGAAUGGUCAAAGUGAUAGCGGUGUAAGAUGGACUUGCGUCUGAUUAGCUAGUUGGUGAGAUAAAAGCUCACCAAGGCAACGAUCAGUAGCCGGCUUGAGAGAGUGUACGGCCACAUUGGGACUGAGACACGGCCCAGACUCCUACGGGAGGCAGCAGUGGGGAAUUUUGCACAAUGGGGGAAACCCUGAUGCAGCGACGCCGCGUGAUUUAGAAGGCCUUCGGGUUGUAAAAAUCUUUUGUAUAGGAAGAAAAUGACAGUACUAUACGAAUAAGGUCCGGCUAAUUACGUGCCAGCAGCCGCGGUAAUACGUAAGGACCGAGCGUUGUCCGGAAUCAUUGGGCGUAAAGGGUACAUAGGCGGCUAGAAGAGUUAGAAGUCAAAGGCUAUAGCUCAACUAUAGUAAGCUUCUAAAACUAUUUAGCUUGAGAAAUGGAAGGGAAAGUGGAAUUCCUAGUGUAGCGGUGGAAUGCGCAGAUAUUAGGAAGAAUACCGGUGGCGAAGGCGACUUUCUGGCCAUUAUCUGACGC
Molecule: ribosomal RNA, 683 nt
Filed under: uncultured Eubacteriales bacterium
Lineage: Bacteria; Bacillati; Bacillota; Clostridia; Eubacteriales
Description: bacterial SSU rRNA
Rfam family: Bacterial small subunit ribosomal RNA
Source: RNAcentral